This 2900-nucleotide ribosomal RNA is filed under the name Klebsiella pneumoniae. Its description in RNAcentral is "bacterial LSU rRNA". It matches the Rfam family "Bacterial large subunit ribosomal RNA". The record is from RNAcentral. Lineage: Bacteria; Pseudomonadati; Pseudomonadota; Gammaproteobacteria; Enterobacterales; Enterobacteriaceae.
UUAAGCGACUAAGCGUACACGGUGGAUGCCCUGGCAGUCAGAGGCGAUGAAGGACGUGCUAAUCUGCGAAAAGCGUCGGUAAGGUGAUAUGAACCGUUAUAGCCGGCGAUGUCCGAAUGGGGAAACCCAGUGCAAUUCGUUGCACUAUCGUUAACUGAAUACAUAGGUUAACGAGGCGAACCGGGGGAACUGAAACAUCUAAGUACCCCGAGGAAAAGAAAUCAACCGAGAUUCCCCCAGUAGCGGCGAGCGAACGGGGAGCAGCCCAGAGUCUGAAUCAGCUUGUGUGUUAGUGGAACGGUCUGGAAAGUCCGACGGUACAGGGUGAUAGUCCCGUACACCAAAAUGCACAGGCUGUGAACUCGAAGAGUAGGGCGGGACACGUGGUAUCCUGUCUGAAUAUGGGGGGACCAUCCUCCAAGGCUAAAUACUCCUGACUGACCGAUAGUGAACCAGUACCGUGAGGGAAAGGCGAAAAGAACCCCGGCGAGGGGAGUGAAAAAGAACCUGAAACCGUGUACGUACAAGCAGUGGGAGCACCUUCGGGUGUGACUGCGUACCUUUUGUAUAAUGGGUCAGCGACUUAUAUUCUGUAGCAAGGUUAACCGUAUAGGGGAGCCGCAGGGAAACCGAGUCUUAACUGGGCGUUAAGUUGCAGGGUAUAGACCCGAAACCCGGUGAUCUAGCCAUGGGCAGGUUGAAGGUUGGGUAACACUAACUGGAGGACCGAACCGACUAAUGUUGAAAAAUUAGCGGAUGACUUGUGGCUGGGGGUGAAAGGCCAAUCAAACCGGGAGAUAGCUGGUUCUCCCCGAAAGCUAUUUAGGUAGCGCCUCGUGAACUCAUCUUCGGGGGUAGAGCACUGUUUCGGCUAGGGGGUCAUCCCGACUUACCAACCCGAUGCAAACUACGAAUACCGAAGAAUGUUAUCACGGGAGACACACGGCGGGUGCUAACGUCCGUCGUGAAGAGGGAAACAACCCAGACCGCCAGCUAAGGUCCCAAAGUCAUGGUUAAGUGGGAAACGAUGUGGGAAGGCACAGACAGCCAGGAUGUUGGCUUAGAAGCAGCCAUCAUUUAAAGAAAGCGUAAUAGCUCACUGGUCGAGUCGGCCUGCGCGGAAGAUGUAACGGGGCUAAACCAUGCACCGAAGCUGCGGCAGCGACACUAUGUGUUGUUGGGUAGGGGAGCGUUCUGUAAGCCUGCGAAGGUGACCUGUGAGGGUUGCUGGAGGUAUCAGAAGUGCGAAUGCUGACAUAAGUAACGAUAAAGCGGGUGAAAAGCCCGCUCGCCGGAAGACCAAGGGUUCCUGUCCAACGUUAAUCGGGGCAGGGUGAGUCGACCCCUAAGGCGAGGCCGAAAGGCGUAGUCGAUGGGAAACAGGUUAAUAUUCCUGUACUUGGUGUUACUGCGAAGGGGGGACGGAGAAGGCUAUGUUAGCCGGGCGACGGUUGUCCCGGUUUAAGCAUGUAGGCUGGUUAUCCAGGCAAAUCCGGAUAAUCAAGGCUGAGGUGUGAUGACGAGGCACUACGGUGCUGAAGUAACAAAUGCCCUGCUUCCAGGAAAAGCCUCUAAGCAUCAGGUAACAUCAAAUCGUACCCCAAACCGACACAGGUGGUCAGGUAGAGAAUACCAAGGCGCUUGAGAGAACUCGGGUGAAGGAACUAGGCAAAAUGGUGCCGUAACUUCGGGAGAAGGCACGCUGGUGUGUAGGUGAAGUCCCUGCGGAUGGAGCUGAGACCAGUCGAAGAUACCAGCUGGCUGCAACUGUUUAUUAAAAACACAGCACUGUGCAAACACGAAAGUGGACGUAUACGGUGUGACGCCUGCCCGGUGCCGGAAGGUUAAUUGAUGGGGUUAUCCGUAAGGAGAAGCUCUUGAUCGAAGCCCCGGUAAACGGCGGCCGUAACUAUAACGGUCCUAAGGUAGCGAAAUUCCUUGUCGGGUAAGUUCCGACCUGCACGAAUGGCGUAAUGAUGGCCAGGCUGUCUCCACCCGAGACUCAGUGAAAUUGAACUCGCUGUGAAGAUGCAGUGUACCCGCGGCAAGACGGAAAGACCCCGUGAACCUUUACUAUAGCUUGACACUGAACAUUGAGCCUUGAUGUGUAGGAUAGGUGGGAGGCUUUGAAGCGUGGACGCCAGUCUGCGUGGAGCCAACCUUGAAAUACCACCCUUUAAUGUUUGAUGUUCUAACGUUGGCCCCUGACCGGGGUUGCGGACAGUGUCUGGUGGGUAGUUUGACUGGGGCGGUCUCCUCCCAAAGCGUAACGGAGGAGCACGAAGGUUAGCUAAUCCUGGUCGGACAUCAGGAGGUUAGUGCAAUGGCAUAAGCUAGCUUGACUGCGAGCGUGACGGCGCGAGCAGGUGCGAAAGCAGGUCAUAGUGAUCCGGUGGUUCUGAAUGGAAGGGCCAUCGCUCAACGGAUAAAAGGUACUCCGGGGAUAACAGGCUGAUACCGCCCAAGAGUUCAUAUCGACGGCGGUGUUUGGCACCUCGAUGUCGGCUCAUCACAUCCUGGGGCUGAAGUAGGUCCCAAGGGUAUGGCUGUUCGCCAUUUAAAGUGGUACGCGAGCUGGGUUUAGAACGUCGUGAGACAGUUCGGUCCCUAUCUGCCGUGGGCGCUGGAGAAUUGAGGGGGGCUGCUCCUAGUACGAGAGGACCGGAGUGGACGCAUCACUGGUGUUCGGGUUGUCAUGCCAAUGGCACUGCCCGGUAGCUAAAUGCGGAAGAGAUAAGUGCUGAAAGCAUCUAAGCACGAAACUUGCCCCGAGAUGAGUUCUCCCUGAGACUUUAAGUCUCCUGAAGGAACGUUAAAGACGAUGACGUUGAUAGGCCGGGUGUGUAAGCGCAGCGAUGCGUUGAGCUAACCGGUACUAAUGAACCGUGAGGCUUAACCUU